This 468-nucleotide ribosomal RNA is filed under the name uncultured bacterium. RNAcentral's name for it is "partial 16S ribosomal RNA". It matches the Rfam family "Bacterial small subunit ribosomal RNA", at positions 28 to 507 of the family's 1533-position model. The record is from RNAcentral.
GACGAACGCUGGCGGCGUGCUUAAUACAUGCAAGUCGAACGGAAAGGCCCUGCUUUUGUGGGGUGCUCGUGUGGCGAACGGGUGUGUAACACGCGAGUAUCCUGUCCCUGUCUUUGGGAUAACUUCAGGAAACUGGGGCUAAUAUCGGAUAGGAGCUCCUGAUGCACGGUGGGGGUUGGAAAGUUUCGGCGGUUGGGGAUGGACUCGCGGCUUAUCAGCUUGUUGGUGGGGUAGUGGCUUACCAAGGCUUUGACGGGUAGCCGGCCUGAGAGGGUGACCGGCCACAUUGGGACUGAGGUACGGCCCAGACUGCUACGGGAGGCAGCAGUGGGGAGUAUUGCACAAUGGGCGGAAGCCUGAUGCAGCAACGCCGCGUUCGGGAUGACGGCCUUCGGGUUGUAAACCGCUUUCGCCUGUGACGAAGCGUGAGUGACGGUAAUUGGUAAAGAAGCACCGGCUAACUACGUG